AACUGCCCCCUCCGCCCGCCGCCGUCAUGGCGACGGGGAAGCGGCCGCCACGUGACCGGGGCGGGGGCCGGGAGGGGCGCCGGCGCCGCGUGACCGCCGGGGGCACGCUGCUUCAGGGCCGCUCCCCUGUCACGUGGUGCGGGCCCCACCCCCGGCGGCCCGUUCCGGUCACGUGCCCACCCCGCCCGCCCCAUGGCCCCGGCGGCGGCCGCAGCCCGACCCCCAUAGCACCGCUCGCACUCGGAGCAGCUCCUGGCGCAACCCGCACGCUCACUGUAGCCACAAUGGCAACAUCAUCUGAAGAAGUGUUGCUGAUAGUGAAGAAGGUGCGUCAGAAGAAGCAGGAUGGGGCCCUCUACCUGAUGGCUGAACGCAUUGCCUGGGCACCCGAGGGCAAGGACCGCUUCACCAUCAGCCACAUGUAUGCAGACAUCAAAUGCCAGAAAAUCAGUCCAGAAGGCAAAGCUAAAAUUCAGCUGCAGCUGGUAUUGCAUGCAGGGGAUACAACCAACUUCCACUUCUCCAAUGAAAGCACAGCAGUGAAGGAGCGAGAUGCGGUCAAGGAUCUUCUUCAACAGCUCUUGCCCAAGUUCAAAAGGAAAGCUAAUAAAGAACUUGAGGAGAAGAACAGAAUGCUGCAAGAAGAUCCUGUUUUGUUUCAGCUCUAUAAAGACCUUGUUGUGAGCCAAGUAAUCAGUGCUGAAGAAUUCUGGGCCAACCGUUUAAGCCUGAAUGCAGGGGAUAAUUCUGCAGCACCUAAUAAGCAGGAUGUGGGAAUCUCUGCAGCAUUCCUGGCUGAUGUACGGCCUCAGACAGACGGCUGCAAUGGGCUGAGGUACAACUUAACUUCGGAUAUUAUUGAAUCCAUAUUUCGGACAUACCCUGCAGUAAAAAUGAAAUAUGCAGAGAAUGUUCCACAUAACAUGACUGAGAGGGAAUUCUGGACACGAUUUUUUCAGUCUCAUUAUUUUCAUCGGGACAGGCUCAAUACAGGUUCAAAAGACCUCUUUGCAGAAUGUGCUAAACUGGAUGAGAAAGGGUUAAAAGCAAUGGUGUCUCAAGGAGUGAAAAACCCUCUGAUAGAUUUAACAGCUUUGGAAGAUAAAACAUUAGAUGAAGGCUAUGGUGCUGCUUCUGUGGCCUCUACAUCAAAUGCCUCAAAGUCUGCUAGAGAAAGCAGCAAUGCUGCCAUCAUAAAACGCUUUAAUCAUCAUAGUGCCAUGGUCCUUGCAGCUGGCCUCAGAAAACAAGAAGCACAAAAUGACCAUUACAGUGAGACCAGCAGUACGGAUGGAAACUCCAGGGAUUCAGAUUUCUUUCAGCCACCACUGAAAAAGGUAAAACUGCAGGAGGCCAUUGAAUACGAAGAUUUAUCAAAGAAUAAUAGCGUUAAAACUAUUGCACUAAACUUAAAGAAGUCUGAUAGGUAUUACCAUGGUCCAACUCCAAUUCAAUCACAGCAAUAUGCAACCAGUCAGGAUAUAAUUAAUUCAUUUCAUAGUAUUAGACAAGAAAUGGAAGCAUAUGUACCCGAACUAACUCAGGUUCUUUCAAGUGUUGAUGCUGCCAGCACUAUUGCAGUCCUGUCACCUGGAGGAGCACUUAUGCAGGGUGGAACACAGCAAGCCAUAAACCAGAUGGUGCCAAAUGACAUUCAGUCUGAACUAAAACAUUUGUAUGUGGCAGUAGGGGAACUGCUACGACACUUCUGGUCCUGCUUCCCUGUUAACACACCAUUCCUAGAAGAAAAGGUUGUGAAAAUGAGGAGCAACUUGGAAAGAUUUCAGGUUACAAAGCUCUGCCCAUUCCAAGAAAAGAUUCGGAGACAAUAUUUAAGCACAAAUUUGGUAAGUCAUAUAGAAGAAAUGCUGCAGACAGCCUACAAUAAAUUCCACACGUGGCAGUCCCGGCGCAUGCUGAAGAAGACGUGAGGGCACAUCCUGUACAGGUCUGAGAGCAAAGCCUGCAAUAGGGUAGGACUACAGCCUAGUUUAACAAUGAUGUUUUAAAACAUAGCUGAGACUGUUUUUGCUUCAAACAUCUGGGAGAGUGUAGCUGUCAGAAGCCAAGCUCCUGCCAUAUGUUUCCCCACCAAUUGGAAGCAAGAGACAUUGCACUGAAAGCUGUUCAUGGUCUGGGGUCUCUAAAGGUACAGAGGGGCAAGCUUUUGCCUGAAGUCUUUGAUUUUUAUGCAAAAAUUUUUCAGCCAUCAGUUUUGCAUGUUUCCUUUUGAGUGAAAGUGUGUGCUACUGCAAUUUUUUUUUUUAUGGUGGCAUUUGUUCUGAGGAGAGAAUGCAUUUUUUAAAAUGAAGUUAAAUAAAGUUUCUUACAAAAGAAGUCAUUUAUUUUCAAUUCUUAGGCAUUUUUUAUUUCUUCUUAUAAAUCUGUUUUCCUUCACCCUUCCCUUUUGACUAUUAUGCUGUUUUUGGCGAAUUGAUAAUCAUUGCAAAGAGAAAAAUGUGUUACAGUGUCCAUAGGUAUUGGGAAUCUGUGCCAUACUUUGUUCUAAAUAGAAUCAGUUCACAGUUUCAGACCAACUUGUCUUGUAUUAAAUGUGACUUAAAUGCAGAGUAACCCCCUUUUCUAGAAUAUAUGCAGUUUAAUGACAACCUUGUAUUUUUUUGUCACUUUGACUGGACAACAGCCCAGUAUGGGCCACUGAACUUUUUUUUUUUACUUCAGAUUAAAUAUGACUGUUAAAGAUGUAUCUACUACAAAGACAAAUCAGACUGACAAUGUGUAUUCAAAGCAAGCACAGCAGUGUUCAGUACAGCAGAAGAAAUUCCCCAAACCUGCACAAUGCUUAAUACUAGAUUUUGGUACGAUGCUAAAACAUGGUCAUAUGAUGUUGGGUGGAUAAUUUUUGAAAAUUCCUACAGCAGAAAAGAUGUAUUGGUGUAGCCAAGUGGGUGCUUGUUCUGUGCUGCUGCUCUGUUUAUGCAAGAGGGUAUUUUCUUUAACUGGUGCAUGGAAGUCAGCAGCUUCUUUUGACCCUUUUCUUUCAGAUUUCUGUAUUAUGCUAUAAUAUUUUGGUAAAAGCUGAGUUUCAGUUAAGCAUCACUGUCUGCACCAAAGUCCUGUUCAGAACUGUGUCCAUAUUGUUCAGCCUCGUUCCCUGUCUGCUGCUGCAGAUCCAUGCAUGAUCCCUGUUCUGCACCAUCCAUGUGGUUCUGGUACAAGAAAUGACUGGGCUCAACCAGAGAUGCCCACUGGUCUUGACAGGGUGAAAAUGUCACUGGGAAUAAACAGAUGUACUACAGCAUUUGGGGGAAUGAGGUGCACAUCUUGUCAAGACUUACCUCUUGUGAAAACUAAACUUUCUCUAAAAUUUAGGCUUAGGGUGUGGCUUUAUGAAGCCAAAUCUCCUUCUAAGUGCAGGUAGCUCACAGAAAAAAAAAAAAUGGUAGUUUUGUUCUCCCCCGAUCCAAAGCAUUUGGUCUAGCAAUUCUGGGACCAAAUUCCAGCUGUUCCUUGAAAGCUAGCACACCUUUCAUCAUAUUGGAGAGCUAGGGUCAAGAAAACAGGUCUGAUUUACAUUCUAACUGUGCCUGAAGCAACGAACAACACAUUUAAAUAUUAGAUUGCACUGAGUCUACAUUUAAAUCCUAGGAGAGUUUUGAAUAUGGAACUAAUUCACCUUUAAUUGGAAUGUAUUUAGUGUUCCUGGAAAGACUGGGCAAAACGGUUAACAUGGUGAAAAAGUGUCAGUGCGUCACAAGAAUAUUUUACAGCUCCAAGGACUGAUGUUUAUAACCAUUUUGGGGAUGGUAUUGCAAAAGCUUUAAGUUAUUAUAAUGAUAUCAGGCUAUCAAAAUGUACCUUAAUGACCAAAACUAGGGGGAGAAGGACUACGAUACUAAAUUCAACAGUUUUGCCUAGAGACUGUACAGGCAAGGCUGCUAUGCACUUCAUAUUGCUUUUUCAGGUAUUGUGGCAAUAAGGCACAGGCCCCUCCUCAAGUAAAGGGAAGUAAACUAAAUAUUCUUUCUACAUUGUGUUCCCCUUUUCUGUAGCUUGGUCCAAAACACAGACUGAUUCCUUAAAUUUUGAAACUGAAUCAUCAUGCAUUAUAUUACUAUUGGAAUCUUUAUACUGACUUGUAUUUUUAAUGAGAAUUCAUAAAACUUGUAUCAUUGGCAUUGAUCUAAGAUUUGUAGAAUAAACCCUACUGAAUUCUGAAGUGAAA
Molecule: RNA transcript, 4186 nt
Organism: Vidua chalybeata
Lineage: Eukaryota; Metazoa; Chordata; Aves; Passeriformes; Viduidae
Gene: GTF2H1
Gene name: general transcription factor IIH subunit 1
Exons: 16
Source: RefSeq, a predicted model, not a curated record